AGUCAACACCUUUCAAAAAAAGAUAAAAAAUCCCGCUAAGUCAAAUACCACAAAAUGACUUAGGCAAAAGUUAGGGCAUCCCGAUGCGGUCCAUGCAAAAUUAGGGAUAAAGAAAAACAAAAAAAAGAGGUCCUAAAAUCCUCAACAAAACAAAGCAAAAUAAGGUGACUUCCAUUUAAAGAAAAUCCAUCUUGAAUCCUCA
Molecule: long non-coding RNA, 202 nt
Filed under: Lathyrus oleraceus (garden pea)
Lineage: Eukaryota; Viridiplantae; Streptophyta; Magnoliopsida; Fabales; Fabaceae
Description: Pisum sativum (pea) long non-coding RNA (PSAT_LNC026755)
Source: RNAcentral